UGUGUGGACACUGUUUUAUAUGCAAUUCAUAUAUAUAAAUCUUCAAUUUAGACCUUUUUUUUAGUGCAGGGGAGUGGCCUGUAUUUUAGCCAAUCAGAAACCCUGUCAGUCAUUUUGCAUGUUCAGAUUUGCAGACCUUGGGCUGGUGGGCAGGAGUGCGUCUUAGUGGGCGGGGUUUGGCAUAAAAGGCAUAUAUGUGCGUGCGUGUAUCUUUAAGUGAGUGGAAUUUGACAUAGAGGGCGUGUGUGUUGUUUAGUGGGCGGAGUUUGACACAGCGAGCGUGUGUGUCUUAGUUGGCGGGUUUGACAUAAAGGUAUGUGUGUUUGUCAUAUAGUGGGCGGGGUUUGGCAUAAAAGGCAUAUAUGUGCGUGCGUGUAUCUUUAAGUGAGUGGAAUUUGACAUAGAGGGCGUGUGUGUUGUUUAGUGGGCGGAGUUUGACACAGCGAGCGUGUGUGUCUUAGUUGGCGGGUUUGACAUAAAGGUAUGUGUGUUUGUCAUAUAGUGGGCGGGGUUUGAUGGUGAAUGUUUGCAUGUGUUGUUUAGUGGGCGUGGUUUAGCACAGAAGGCGUGUGUGUGUUAGUGGGCGGGGUUUGACAGAGUGAGUGUGUUGUUUAGUGGGCGGGGUUUGACGUGGUGAAUGUGUGUGUGUGUGUGUUUAGUGGGUGGGGUUUAGCACAGAAGGCGUAUGGGUAUUAGUGGGCGGGGUUUGACUGAGUGAGUGUGUCGUUUAGUGGGUGUGGUUUAGCACAGAAGGUGUGUGUGUCUUAGUGGGCGGGGUUUGACGUGGUGAAUGUGUGUGUGUGUGUGUGUGUGUGUGUGUGUGUUUAGUGGGCGUGGUUUAGCACAGAAGGCGUUUGUGUCUUAGUGGGCGGAGUCAGAGGGCGUGUGCGAUUGUAGUCAGAAAAGCUCCUGAAAUCACUUACAGCACUUUUAACAAUCAGACACUGUGUUCAGAGUUUAGAAACUCUUAAAAGGCCAAACAAAAGCUACUUUAUAUUUGUGUUACCAAAUGGUCCGUUCACACAAGACGUGUUCCUGCAUUUAAACACUUGGACUGAGAUCAAUGGAAGAGAACAGAGAAAGUAGUUUUACCUUGACAUGACAGACCGCAGCCAAACACACGGAUCUGACACGCGUGUACACAGACAAACAAUAACGCAGCCCGUCCUGUGUGAACGAGCCACAUGUGACUGAACCUGCUGUGCCUUUCAUUACAAACCCUUGUUUUGUUCAUGUUGCGUGUUUUAUUUCGGUGAACAGCUGACAUCACUGUGCCUUGUUGUCAUACGUGUAAAAUACUAAAGUUGCUUUGGUAUUUGUUGAUUUGAUGUUGUGGAAUAUGUAAUCUAACGUCUGCAGUCAUUUCAGUCGGACACACUUCUGUAAAUGUGAUCUUUGAUCCUCAAACACUGAACGCAGACGAUUGCCUGAAUGAUUUUAGAUGAGAAUUGUUCUGAAAUGAAGAUAAUCUGCAAGUAUUAUUAGACAGCAGUAUUGCAAUUAUAGCGUGCAGUUCUUUUAGUGUUACUGAACUAAUAUUUCAAGAUGUUUUCUGAAAUAUGAACAAGUAUUUUCAAAGGUUCAAUCUGUAUAUUUUCUUUGUUUUGCAGACAGGAUCACACGCUUGUUUUGACAUGUUACUGUUUAAUGUGUUUGUACUGGCUUUCCUUAAACUAGAUGCUUCGGUGUAAACUCAUAACAUAAUAACCUCUUAUCAUAACUCAAGGUAUGUAUUAUCAUAUUGCACUAAAAUACACAAUAUUAAAUUUAAUUCUGAAGCUGCACAUUUAACGCACUGUGUUUUUUGAGAUGGUCAAAAUUGUUUUGAUCUCUGAGCCAUUUAUUUGAGUUUUAUGAUUUCUUUAUGUUGUUAUAUCGAUGUGCCAAACAUGAAUUGAGUUCAAAAAAUAAAUAUUGCACUUGAUGAGUUUGAUUUGCAUGGAUGUCAUUGGAGAAAAUCAAUGUUUGAGUUCAAAUGAUAGUGUUUGAGACUGAAUGUAACGUAGUUUAAAUGCCUUUUGUGUCUUUUCAGCAUUUCAGGUGUUAAAUGAUGCAGAAUCUUGCCUUCAUCAGUGUAUAAACUAUAAAACUCAGUGGCCUUCGAUCUUUGAACACAGACUGUUUAAUAUUUUCUGCAUCUGUCCAGCUCUUAGAUUUCUAUAUUCAGACUGCACAAAUAAUUGUACAGUUUUGUAUAUAAAUGAAGCCUUUUUCCUGUGGAUUUAUAA
Sinocyclocheilus grahami is the source of this 2228-nucleotide long non-coding RNA. RefSeq lists it as uncharacterized. The transcript is spliced from 2 exons. NCBI's taxonomy places the organism in Eukaryota, Metazoa, Chordata, Actinopteri, Cypriniformes, Cyprinidae. The record is from RefSeq and is a predicted model, not a curated record.